Molecule: ribosomal RNA, 458 nt
Filed under: uncultured bacterium
Lineage: Bacteria
Description: partial 16S ribosomal RNA
Rfam family: Bacterial small subunit ribosomal RNA
Source: RNAcentral
UGGGGAAUUUUGGACAAUGGGCGAAAGCCUGAUCCAGCAAUGCCGCGUGUGUGAAGAAGGCCUUCGGGUUGUAAAGCACUUUUGUCCGGAAAGAAAUCCUUGGCUCUAAUACAGUCGGGGGAUGACGGUACCGGAAGAAUAAGCACCGGCUAACUACGUGCCAGCAGCCGCGGUAAUACGUAGGGUGCAAGCGUUAAUCGGAAUUACUGGGCGUAAAGCGUGCGCAGGCGGUUUGCUAAGACCGAUGUGAAAUCCCCGGGCUCAACCUGGGAACUGCAUUGGUGACUGGCAGGCUAGAGUAUGGCAGAGGGGGGUAGAAUUCCACGUGUAGCAGUGAAAUGCGUAGAGAUGUGGAGGAAUACCGAUGGCGAAGGCAGCCCCCUGGGCCAAUACUGACGCUCAUGCACGAAAGCGUGGGGAGCAAACAGGAUUAGAUACCCUGGUAGUCCACGCCUAAC